CUGAAAAACAAAUGCAGAAAACAGUAAAAACUCUGAAAACACAGUGAUGUUAUGUAAUGUCUUUGUUGAUUUACAUUUUGAUGUUUCCUUUUCAGGGCCGUAGAUGAAAUAAUCCAGGCUGUAGACAUCAAGUCGUAUGGGUCUUCUCCCAGUGCAUCGGGCACAACCCCAACAUCUCCAACCAAGCCUCCUGAUUCAAAAGAUGCUCCAAAAAUUAAAAAGCAACUUUCAAAAGAUGUUCCAAUGAACUUUUAUCAGGAUGAGAGCCUACAGAAUGAGCCUCCGAGCCCCCAUAAGUCGUCGUGUCUCAUCUCUUAAAGGGAGUCUUCAGUUCUGCUCAUUGUUCUGUUACAGUUUCUACAUAAAUUUGCUCUUAACACACACACACACACACACACACACACACACACACACACACACACACACACAC
Long non-coding RNA from Boleophthalmus pectinirostris (great blue-spotted mudskipper), 430 nucleotides. RefSeq lists it as uncharacterized. The transcript has 4 exons. NCBI's taxonomy places the organism in Eukaryota, Metazoa, Chordata, Actinopteri, Gobiiformes, Gobiidae. The record is from RefSeq and is a predicted model, not a curated record.